GAGGGUGUACCUCAGUGGUAGAGUGCGUGCCUGGCAUGCAUGAGAUCCUGGGUUCAAUCUCCAAUACCUCCA
This 72-nucleotide transfer RNA is filed under the name Camelus bactrianus (Bactrian camel). It matches the Rfam family "tRNA". From Rfam's summary of the family: Transfer RNA (tRNA) molecules are approximately 80 nucleotides in length. Their secondary structure includes four short double-helical elements and three loops (D, anti-codon, and T loops). RNAcentral also lists the same sequence under 2 other names. The record is from Rfam by way of RNAcentral. Lineage: Eukaryota; Metazoa; Chordata; Mammalia; Artiodactyla; Camelidae.